Mauremys reevesii (Reeves's turtle) is the source of this 1724-nucleotide long non-coding RNA. RefSeq lists it as uncharacterized. The transcript is spliced from 3 exons. Lineage: Eukaryota; Metazoa; Chordata; Testudines; Geoemydidae. The record is from RefSeq and is a predicted model, not a curated record.
UCGGUGCGGCUGACCAUGAGAGGGGCAGAGAACUGAGUGCAGCUGGCACCGCAAUGGGCACGGGCCUCCUUCCAUCACCACAACACAUGGCCCGAUACACACCGCUGUAGCCCAGUACAGCCCCCGACACACAGCCCUACACCUACAGACACACCUGGGGAGAAACAUAUGCAUGCAUGCAGAGCGGGCACAGAACUGACCCCAGUGUGUACCAUACCUGCACACACGCUGAUACUCACACCUCCCUCCCACAACACCCCCUCCCCCCUGGGCUGGGUGGGAGAGACAGCCUGCCAUGUGUUAGCCCCAUGGACAGAGGCCUGGGCCUCCCCCGCAAGAGUUGUCCCUUCCUGGUCGCCCGGAAGCCCCACAGCUGGGGCUGUGACAUGCCAAGGUGUGAGAAAUGACGCCGGGGUUUCUAAUUUGCUGUUGUUCCUUCCAGGCUGCUGCUGAGCUCCCCGCUUGCCACCCCGCCAGCCAGGCAAACGCAACUGAUCAGAGGCUCCAUUAACCAAUUACCAGGGUCCCCCAGGCGGUGGCAGUACCUGCUUUGCAGCAGUACAGCACAGGAGCACGAGCCCCGGCCCAAAGCGGCAUCAGAGCCACAGUGUGGAUUGAAGCACCCUGCCAGCACCAGGCUGAGCUCAGAACAGCUUGGAGAGGCUCAUACAACACAUGCUGGAAGUACAGGGAGGAAGCCAGGUUGAAGCAGCACUGAAAACGUUUCUCUUCAGGCCUGACAAAGGGACACUGGGCACAGCUGGGAACUGACCCAAGAUCUUCAACAUCCCCAGCCAGCACCAAGACCACGCAUCAGCCUCCUGGCCUGGCACCAGGAGCACCAGGCUUCCACUGCAGCAAAUGCCCCUGCACAGCUCCUGGCUUAACGUCCCACCAGGCCUGUUCUUCCAGCCUGACUCUGCAGAGCCAAGGGCCCAGCAUCUCCAGCCUGGACCAGAUGCCGGAACGAUAGGUGACAGAAGAACCCCAAGAAAAGACUUGGAGGACGGGACGCUCAGGGCUGAAGCGAGUGAAACUACCUGAUUCUGAAAAGGGACAACCAGCUGGGGGCUGCGUAAGAGCAGAAGAAAUGGCACCAGUGGGACCAGCUAGGGAGGAGACACUCCACCGUGGGGAGCAUGACAUGAAAAGGGGAUCGCAUUGCUCCAGGCUGGAUAAGCACUGUCUGGACGGACUGUGGGGUGAGAGACCUUGUAGGCCAGGCGAGGACCUUGCUCGUGAAUAGAAGCUGUAAUUGCCUGUGAUGUUCUUCUCCCACCUGUCACCUUCUGUGUCCAAACCCUUCCAUUGGCUUUGGGAUCUUUAAUCCGAGCAUUGGUACAUUUUACUAUAACCACAGCUUAGCGACUUGUACAAUGGACAGGGUUGGAGUGAGGUGGAGGCAACGGAUCGGUGUACAGAGCGGGCAGUGGGCAGUCAAGCGUGACAAGAUGGGGUGCCUGUUGCUAGCCUGCAGAGGGAAAGGGGGGCUGCCCAUAGCCCAGUGUGGAGGGCUCAUGUUGGCAGCAGCAGGUAGCUUUGGGAGUCGCCCCUGGCGAGCACAGACAAGACUCCCUCGUACCAUCAGCGGGUGCUAGUGACUCACCUCAGGUCACCCUGAAAAGUGUCGCACCCCUUCCCCCACUCACCCUGUAAGGCACAGAAAGCCUCACCAGGCAAUAGACGUUAGGAGCCCAAGUCGCUUGGAGGCACUGGCCCCGCGU